This 440-nucleotide ribosomal RNA is filed under the name uncultured bacterium. Its description in RNAcentral is "partial 16S ribosomal RNA". It matches the Rfam family "Bacterial small subunit ribosomal RNA", at positions 338 to 795 of the family's 1533-position model. The record is from RNAcentral.
CCUACGGGAGGCAGCAGUGGGGGAUAUUGCACAAUGGGGGGAACCCUGAUGCAGCGACGCCGCGUGAGGGAAGAAGCGCCUCGGCGCGUAAAGCCCUGUCAGCAGGGAAGAAAAUGACGGUACCUGAAGAAGAAGCCCCGGCUAACUACGUGCCAGCAGCCGCGGUAAUACGUAGGGGGCCAGCGUUAUCCGGAUUUACUGGGUGUAAUGGGGGCGCAGACGGCGAUGCAAGCCAGGAGUGAAAGGCCGGGGCCCAACCCUGGGACUGCUGUUGGAACUGCGUGGCUGGAGUGUAGGAGGGGUAGGCGGAAUGCGUGGUGUAGCGGUGAAAUGCGUAGAUAUCAGGCGGAACACCGGUGGCGAAGGCGGCUUGCUGGACCAUAAAUGACGCUGAGGCACGAAAGCGUGGGGAUCAAACAGGAUUAGAUACCCUUGUAGUC